This 254-nucleotide ribosomal RNA is filed under the name uncultured bacterium. RNAcentral describes it as "partial 16S ribosomal RNA". It matches the Rfam family "Bacterial small subunit ribosomal RNA", at positions 524 to 776 of the family's 1533-position model. The record is from RNAcentral.
UACGUAGGGUGCGAGCGUUGUCCGGAAUUAUUGGGCGUAAAGAGCUCGUAGGCGGUCUGUCGCGUCGAUCGUGAAAACUUGGGGCUUAACCCUGAGCUUGCGGUCGAUACGGGCAUGACUGGAGUUCGGCAGGGGAGACUGGAAUUCCUGGUGUAGCGGUGAAAUGCGCAGAUAUCAGGAGGAACACCGGUGGCGAAGGCGGGUCUCUGGGAAGAUACUGACGCUGAGGUGCGAAAGCGUGGGGAGCAAACAGG